GUGCCAGCCGCCGCGGUAAUACGAAGGUGGCAAGCGUUACUCGGAAUUACUAGGCGUAAAGGGCAGGUAGGUGGUUUGAUAAGUCUGUUGUGAAAGCUCCUGGCUUAACUGGGAGAGGUCAACAGAAACUAUCAGGCUUGAGUAUGGGAGAGGGUACUGGAAUUCCCGGUGUAGCGGUGAAAUGCGCAGAGAUCGGGAGGAACACCUAUGGCGAAAGCAGGUACCUGGACCAUUACUGACACUCAGCUGCGAAAGCUAGGGGAGCAAACAGGAUUAGAUACCCGCGUAGUCC
RNAcentral lists this ribosomal RNA (292 nucleotides) under uncultured bacterium. RNAcentral describes it as "partial 16S ribosomal RNA". It matches the Rfam family "Bacterial small subunit ribosomal RNA", at positions 505 to 796 of the family's 1533-position model. The record is from RNAcentral.